RNAcentral lists this small nuclear RNA (125 nucleotides) under Leptobrachium leishanense (Leishan spiny toad). RNAcentral describes it as "U4 spliceosomal RNA (ENSLLEG00000023215.1)". It matches the Rfam family "U4 spliceosomal RNA". Rfam says of the family: U4 small nuclear RNA (U4 snRNA) is a component of the major U2-dependent spliceosome. Lineage: Eukaryota; Metazoa; Chordata; Amphibia; Anura; Megophryidae. The record is from Rfam by way of RNAcentral.
ACUCUUGCGCAGUGGCAGUAUCAUAGCCUAUGAGGUUCAACUGAGGCGUGAUUAUUGCUAAUUGAAAACUUUACCCAAUUACCCCGCCAUGACGACUUGAAAUUUACGAGUUAUCCAAAGAGGAU